AAACACGGACCAAGGAGUCUAUACUGUACGCGAGUCAAAGGGCUGGCUAAACCCCAAGGCGAAAUUAAAGUGAAAUCCUUGUUACACAAAUAAUAACGGGCCGAUCCGAGUUCGCCAGCACGGCGGCGAAGGGCGGCGGCGGCGGCCGUUUCUUAACGGUCGUCGCCGUCGUCGCCGUCCUCUGCUGACGAUUUACUUACCGCACCACCGGCAGAAGAUCGGCGCAGGCCCGGGGCUCGCUAGUCUCUUCCCUCUUGUCACUUUCAAUGCCACGAGGGCGGUUGUUUUUUAAUUGCCGCUCUCUCGCAGACGUGGGAAGAACGGUGAGUACCUUGAGCGUACAUAGUAGGACCCGAAAGAUGGUGAUCUAUGCCUGGCCAGGAUGAAGCCAGAGGAAACUCUGGUGGAAGUCCGAAGCGGUUCUGACGUGCAAAUCGAUCGUCUGAGC
This 448-nucleotide ribosomal RNA is filed under the name Mesoniscus alpicola. RNAcentral describes it as "partial large subunit ribosomal RNA". It matches the Rfam family "Eukaryotic large subunit ribosomal RNA", at positions 657 to 911 of the family's 3401-position model. The record is from RNAcentral. Lineage: Eukaryota; Metazoa; Arthropoda; Malacostraca; Isopoda; Mesoniscidae.